GACGAACGCUUGCGGCGUGCUUAACACAUGCAAGUCGAACGGAAAGGCCCUGCUUUUGUGGGGUGCUCGAGUGGCGAACGGGUGAGUAACACGUGAGUAACCUGCCCUUGACUUUGGGAUAACUUCAGGAAACUGGGGCUAAUACCGGAUAGGAGCUCCUGCUGCAUGGUGGGGGUUGGAAAGUUUCGGCGGCUGGGGAUGGACUCGCGGCUUAUCAGCUUGUUGGUGGGGUAGUGGCUUACCAAGGCUUUGACGGGUAGCCGGCCUGAGAGGGUGACCGGCCACAUUGGGACUGAGAUACGGCCCAGACUCCUACGGGAGGCAGCAGUGGGGAAUAUUGCACAAUGGGCGGAAGCCUGAUGCAGCAACGCCGCGUGCGGGAUGACGGCCUUCGGGUUGUAAACCGCUUUCGCCUGUGACGAAGCGUGAGUGACGGUAAUGGGUAAAGAAGCACCGGCUAACUACGUGCCAGCAGCCGCGGUGAUACGUAGGGUGCGAGCGUUGUCCGGAUUUAUUGGGCGUAAAGGGCUCGUAGGUGGUUGAUCGCGUCGGAAGUGUAAUCUUGGGGCUUAACCCUGAGCGUGCUUUCGAUACGGGUUGACUUGAGGAAGGUAGGGGAGAAUGGAAUUCCUGGUGGAGCGGUGGAAUGCGCAGAUAUCAGGAGGAACACCAGUGGCGAAGGCGGUUCUCUGGGCCUUUCCUGACGCUGAGGAGCGAAAGCGUGGGGAGCGAACAGGCUUAGAUACCCUGGUAGUCCACGCUGUAAACGGUGGGUACUAGGUGUGGGGUCCAUUCCACGGGUUCCGUGCCGUAGCUAACGCUUUAAGUACCCCGCCUGGGGAGUACGGCCGCAAGGCUAAAACUCAAAGGAAUUGACGGGGCCCCGCACAAGCGGCGGAGCAUGCGGAUUAAUUCGAUGCAACGCGUAGAACCUUACCUGGGUUUGACAUGGAUCGGGAGUGCUCAGAGAUGGGUGUGCCUCUUUUGGGGUCGGUUCACAGGUGGUGCAUGGCUGUCGUCAGCUCGUGUCGUGAGAUGUUGGGUUAAGUCCCGCAACGAGCGCAACCCUUGUUCACUGUUGCCAGCACGUUAUGGUGGGGACUCAGUGGAGACCGCCGGGGUCAACUCGGAGGAAGGUGGGGAUGACGUCAAGUCAUCAUGCCCCUUAUGUCCAGGGCUUCACGCAUGCUACAAUGGCUGGUACAGAGAGUGGCGAGCCUGUGAGGGUGAGCGAAUCUCGGAAAGCCGGUCUCAGUUCGGAUUGGGGUCUGCAACUCGACCUCAUGAAGUCGGAGUCGCUAGUAAUCGCAGAUCAGCAACGCUGCGGUGAAUACGUUCCCGGG
This 1343-nucleotide ribosomal RNA is filed under the name uncultured bacterium. Its description in RNAcentral is "16S ribosomal RNA". It matches the Rfam family "Bacterial small subunit ribosomal RNA", at positions 28 to 1378 of the family's 1533-position model. The record is from RNAcentral.